RNAcentral lists this transfer RNA (72 nucleotides) under Ovis aries (sheep). It matches the Rfam family "tRNA". From Rfam's summary of the family: Transfer RNA (tRNA) molecules are approximately 80 nucleotides in length. Their secondary structure includes four short double-helical elements and three loops (D, anti-codon, and T loops). Further hydrogen bonds mediate the characteristic L-shaped molecular structure. tRNAs have two regions of fundamental functional importance: the anti-codon, which is responsible for specific mRNA codon recognition, and the 3' end, to which the tRNAs corresponding amino acid is attached (by aminoacyl-tRNA synthetases). tRNAs cope with the degeneracy of the genetic code in two manners: having more than one tRNA (with a specific anti-codon) for a particular amino acid; and 'wobble' base-pairing, i.e. permitting non-standard base-pairing at the 3rd anti-codon position. Lineage: Eukaryota; Metazoa; Chordata; Mammalia; Artiodactyla; Bovidae. The record is from Rfam by way of RNAcentral.
UCCCCGGUGGCUUAGAUGGUAAAGAAUCUGCCUGCAAUGCAGGAGACCCAGGUUCAAUCCCUGGGUUGGGAA